AGGAGUGGAAGGGUGGCUCACGGCUCAAUGAGCUGAGGAAAUUCCCCCCUCGUUCCCAGGCCAGGGGUGUAAAAGCCGGGGCGAGAGCUCCGAUGAGUGGCGCAGAAACGACACAGCUCAGGGCAAGAAUGAUUCCUUUGAGGAUGACGUUGCUCUGAGAUUUGGUGAAACGGCCAUCACCCUGGAGCAAGUCCAAACACCAGCAGGGUUGCCUGGGACCGCCUGGAGGUAGGACGCAUAGACGAAUGCCACCUAAAACAGAAGGGGGAUUACUAUCCACACCU
This 284-nucleotide RNase P RNA is filed under the name Thermoplasmata archaeon. Its description in RNAcentral is "RNase P RNA component". It matches the Rfam family "Archaeal RNase P". Rfam says of the family: Ribonuclease P (RNase P) is a ubiquitous endoribonuclease, found in archaea, bacteria and eukarya as well as chloroplasts and mitochondria. Its best characterised activity is the generation of mature 5'-ends of tRNAs by cleaving the 5'-leader elements of precursor-tRNAs. Lineage: Archaea; Methanobacteriati; Thermoplasmatota; Thermoplasmata. The record is from RNAcentral.